AUAAACGCGUGGGUAUUGGGAAAAUGAGAUGGAGCGGCUGGAUAAGGGCUGACUUGUUGCUUCGCUCCAAUCGCAAAGCCACAAUCGGUCUGCUUUGGUCGGCUGCCGUCUCAUGAGUUCUGCUCAAAUGAAGUGACUAAAGUUAUGCGCAAUUUUGACGCGAUUUUUUUGUGCUGAAACCAUGGAUCCAUGUUGUUCCGGUGCGGUUAUUUCCGACAAAACAGACCCGAUAGCACACAACUACAUAGGUUGAUUGUGCGUUCUCACGAUUCGUAUUUUACGGAAUUGGCGCUUACAGCGUUUUUCAGACACGAUCGUGCAUUUGUGUUUGCCAGGCUAUCUAUAAUUCCUUAACAUCUGGCCCCGAGAUUUGUUCAUAUUUUCUGUUUUUUUUUGCCACAGUGCGAAAUUACAAAUUGUUUGUUCGUAACGCAGUUCGCACUUCGCAGAGCUUGAAUUAUUAAACGGUUAAAAAUUAGAAAAUAAUUUUGCUUUUUAUUUCGAACGGCUUUUGCCUUUUGUCGUCUCGUAAACGGAUACACUCUAAGCGGUUCACCGCCCUGGGUGGCGGCUUACUGCAACAGCACUGGCACCAUUGGUCACCAGCCUGACCACCCCAUGAUGCCGGCCAGUGCAUUUAUUGUUGUGCUGUUGGCUCGUCUUAGGCCUUGGAUUUGGUUGCCUCGCGAAUCCGUUUACCUAUUUGGUCUGACACCGUGACACGGACAACAUUAAACUCAACAGUUCUCAAUAAGUCAUUACAUUAAAUUUUUCUGAAGCGGUACUGCUGGCGGAAUGGCAGGCAAACCGACGAUUGUCCGUAAUCUGGCUUAAUUUCCUCGAGGAUUGAUACAGGAGCGAAUUGCCAGUUUGCUGCUUGAUUGGAAUUCGGCUUUUGGCGGACCGCCGUCCGCGGAGUGUUAAUAUUCUAAGAAAUUGUCUGGAUCUGACGGCAUGCUCGACCAGCACCAUGCAGUGGUUGCGGCGGUUUCUUCGGACGCGGCUGGGCCUGGUAACGGGGGUGCUGGUGAUGGUGGGCUUGCUUUGCGUGAUGCAGAUCGCCCGACUGCAGAGUCCCUACGAUCCCAUCGGGGAGAUUCGCGUUAAACUGGAAGCGGCCUAUGCCACUGCGUCCAGCUCGGUGAUGCUGGAGGAGACCACGUCGCUCGCGGUCGCAGCCAUAUCCGCUAAUCGCUCCCAGCGGCAGCUUUUGCACAGGCAACACAAAUCUGAUUCAUCGCAAACCAAAGCACGUGCCAAAUUACCGCCAAAAAUGGAUUUCGCUUUUCCGAUAUCCCGGACAAAUGUCUGUUUUGGUGAUUCUCCUCCAAAUGAUCUGUUUCUCCUUAUUAUUGUUCACUCAGCCGCUUCGCAUUUCCAUAACCGAGAAUUGAUUCGUGAGACAUGGGCGAAUGAAGUUUGGCGCCGGAAACAAGGUGCGGCUGUCCUGUUUAUUGUAGGAACACCAGUCAGCGAAGCUGUGCAGACCAAAGUAGUCAAUGAAUCCGUCACUUUCGGCGACAUCAUCCAGUAUAAUUAUCUAGACACGUACCGCAACAUGACCCACAAGAACCUAGCCGGCCUCACUUACAUCUCCCAGUUCUGCCAGACACUCCCCUUCUCCUACAUCCUGAAAACCGACGACGACAUGUUCGUCUAUCUGCGUCCCAUCGUGGCCCAUCUGCGCCAGUAUGAAUACUGCCAUCCGCACGCCACGCGCACCAUCCUCUGCGCGGAACUGCAGCGCCGCGAAGUGGUGCAGCGGGAUCGCAAGGGCAAGUGGUUCGUCGCGUGGGAGGACUUCCCGGAUAAACACUAUCCGCCCUACUGCUACGGAGGCGGUUACGUGCUGACCCGCGAUUUGGUGGAGGGGCUGCUGAGUGCGGCCGGGAAGGUGCCCUUUUACUGGAUCGACGAUGUGUUCGUUACGGGGCUGACGGCCAAGGCGUUGGGUGGUGUCCAGCAUGUACAGUUUCCCGGCCAAAAUCCCAUCAAAGGAUAUGUGUGUGAUGUGAAGUGCAUGCAGACGAAUCGACGGUGGUUCAUGCAUACGCUGCAGAGGGCGGACAUGAUAAAGAAUUAUUACCGAGUGGUCAAGGAUUACGGUCUGGUCCACGAUAACAUCGAUCCCGAAGGCUGCCCGGCAACGAAAAGUGGAAGGCGGUGAUGAAAAGUGUCUGCCAAACCGAGAGUUACGAUUAUAUUGAUGCAUGGAUUGCGAUAACGGUGUUUCUUCUUUCAGUGGCAGAUGGUUGUUUGAGUUUUUAAUUUUUUAUAUAGAUAUUUGUGACGCCGUUGAAGAAAGUUUCUCUGAUCGUUUAUGUUGGUUGUUGAGUGUUGACUGCAAUACUACCUGGUUUGAAUACAACGAUCCUGUUCUUCCGGUGCUGACGUAAGACAACCAAACGCAAGAACAGUACUGUGAACAAAAAGGCGAUUUAAUCAGGGACAAUAAAAGCUAUAUGCGGCUACUUCCC
Paramacrobiotus metropolitanus is the source of this 2477-nucleotide RNA transcript. It is a transcript of the gene named lactosylceramide 1,3-N-acetyl-beta-D-glucosaminyltransferase A-like, with no coding region annotated. The transcript is spliced from 6 exons. NCBI's taxonomy places the organism in Eukaryota, Metazoa, Tardigrada, Eutardigrada, Parachela, Macrobiotidae. The record is from RefSeq and is a predicted model, not a curated record.